Molecule: long non-coding RNA, 2041 nt
Organism: Astatotilapia calliptera (eastern happy)
Lineage: Eukaryota; Metazoa; Chordata; Actinopteri; Cichliformes; Cichlidae
Source: Ensembl
UAAACUUUGUUUUUAUUACACUGUUAAAGGAUCUUCAGAGCAAUUUGGCACUGAUCGGUCUUUUGUGUACCACUGUGCCAAGGCUGCUCUCGCAAAUGUGCCUACUGUGGUAAGAGGGCAGAGAGGACUCGUAGUAAACCUGCAUGAAUGGCUCGUCACGUUUUUCACAGUUUGUCCUACCUUCAUGUCCCAGGAAUUCUGCCAAGGAAACUGCGUCAUUCAGGUGUGGCAUACGUACAAAGCGGACGUGAGCGCCGUGUUAAGAUUAGGAAACACAAUAAGGCAGAGCAUGCCUGAGAGUAGAAUGGGCGUAAAAUCGCCGAAAUGUACCACACAGCCCAGCACACACUGUUCGAAACUGCACACCCCCUUUGAUGCGAGUAUCACUGAGUCAACCUUUGGAAUGCCGGAAAUCUGACGGCACGGACUCUCCUCCGCACGGGGUCUGAUCCGAGGGCUGCUUAAGCUCAGCUUUACGCGCAACGCUGGAAAAGAACCAGAAAAACCGCCAGUAGCUGAUUUUGAAGAAAGUGCUGUAGGGUGAGGCGACACGUUCACUUACUGGGACGGUAACGGAGACAGGUAACGAUCCUGGAUGGGUUUAUCAGAACCACCUUUACUGGUGGCGCUACAGAGGAGGUCAACAGUCCUGGAUGUUAGCAGGAUUACCUCCUCACUAUGGCACUGCUGUCAGGGCCUGUGUGCAGGCUGCUGUGUGCAUUACAGGCAGAAAGCCCGCCUGCUGUGAAAGACUGUUCUGUCAGAGGCUUUUGUUCAAAUCUAAAGAUCGGUUUAACAUGUUACACACUAGCUACUGCUGGCAAUUUAAAAAGGAGCUUCUGUUGAUGUGUCAGGAGCCAAAAACAUGUGACACCACAGCCCCGGUGCCUAGAUUUUGACAUUAAAAUCACGAUAUUACUCUCUAAAACCUAAACUCUCAUCUUUUGUGCCAUUCUGCUCAGAGCUAAUUUUAGUCUUGCCCUCAUUCUCUGUAUGUGGCCUCUUUACGCAUGCGAUGUGGUUAUAUGAAUCGUGCCCGUUCUGCAAUCAACCACACACAGCAAACUAAACCGGACACACACAUGUCAGACUCCACCACUCCAAUGUGCUGUGUGCCCACAUUCAUGUAGAUCUCUCAGCGAUAUUCCACUAAAAUAGCUUUCCGUGGCCUGUCUGCCAGUCUCACCUCCAGAUGCUUUCCUCUUGGGUUCCUUCGUAGUUUCAACACUGAGCCCCGCAGUAUUUAUCACUAUAACUCCCCUUUAUCUCUGAACAAGGACCAUGGAGCUUAACUUUAGGCGGUCUAGUUAAUAAAUUUGACAGGAAGUUCUCAAUUAUUUGCUUAUGCCAGUGUUUGACUGUAGUCUAUCUUGUAAUACAAUCAGUAUCUUGGGGGAAAUUACAUUUCUUCAAGGAAAUUAAACAUUUAUCGUCUGACUACUUUUUGCAUGUUCCACCAAAUAUUUGGUCUGUGGGAGCCCAUUGUUAGGAAAAACACUUCUGAUUACAAAAUCCCAAAUUUUUGGUUGGAUUUUAUUUUUUUGGGAGGGUACAAAUAAUCUUGCAUAAAGCCUCCACAUUUGCAAUAAAAACCUAUUUGUUUAUAAUAAAAAUGCUAAUAUUUCAAAUUAGCCAUCUCUAAAUUGCUUUUUUGUUUGUUUUCAUCCUGAUGAAUCACAAAGUCAGAAUAACAUUUAAAUAUAGUUUAUCUUGAUUUUAAUUUCAAAGAAGGAACAAAAAAGCCCCAUUUUGAUUGCAGUUAUCAGCAGGUACUAUACAGUUAUAGGGGAAUGCCUGCCAUUAUAAUAAGAAGUCUUUAAAGGGCAACUGUUAGUUAAAUUAGUAUUGCACUGGUGUUUUUGGCUUCUAUGACUCUGACUUUCAUCAGCGACGGCGCUAACCUGACGCAAACACUGUGCUUGAACCCACACUAGUGACUGGUGGCCCUUUGCUUUGCUGCAGGUGCGCAGAUGCAUAGAUAGCUGACUUUUCAACGUUCACUUUGCAGUCUGGACUUUCUUUUGGAAAAUAAACUUCCCCA